Molecule: ribosomal RNA, 253 nt
Filed under: uncultured bacterium
Lineage: Bacteria
Description: partial 16S ribosomal RNA
Rfam family: Bacterial small subunit ribosomal RNA
Source: RNAcentral
UACGUAGGGUGCAAGCGUUAAUCGGAAUUACUGGGCGUAAAGCGUGCGCAGGCGGUUGUGCAAGACAGAUGUGAAAUCCCCGGGCUCAACCUGGAACUGCAUUUGUGACUGCACGGCUGGAGUGCGGCAGAGGGGGAUGGAAUUCCGCGUGUAGCAGUGAAAUGCGUAGAUAUGCGGAGGAACACCAGUGGCGAAGGCGAUCAUCUGGGGCUGUUCUGACGCUGGAGGAGCGAAAGCUAGGGGAGCAAACGGG